UUGACUGUCUCCAUGGUGAUAGAUUGUGUAUAAAUACUCUCCUGAAGGGAGAAGCUGAUUCUUCAGGAGCAAAACUGACCUCAUAAAAGCAAAUCAAACCAGCAAUAACCACCACAAAUGCAGGAGCCAGAAGGGCUUGGUGUUCGUGCUGUGACCCCGUGAGAGGCAUCAUCUUUAAGGCACUCUUUACAAGGCAAUUUGCAAGACAGCCAGCUACAGUGUUGGGGCAGAGAUGUUCUUGCUGGGGAACAGAGCAAACCAUGGCAACCAUGGGAAUGAGGAGCCAAUCUUUUGAUUCAGACAUCCAUUGUUUUCUUAGACAAGAUGCAAAGAUGUUGGAGGCAAGAGACCGAUUAUAUUGCAACCUUCCCUUGACUCCUCAGCUGAUUCUCAUAGAGGUUCAUUUGAACUAAGGAACUUAAAAUACAGGCAUGCCAUGCCAACUUGGUCGCA
Panthera uncia (snow leopard) is the source of this 453-nucleotide long non-coding RNA. RefSeq lists it as uncharacterized. The record is from RefSeq and is a predicted model, not a curated record. The transcript is spliced from 2 exons. NCBI's taxonomy places the organism in Eukaryota, Metazoa, Chordata, Mammalia, Carnivora, Felidae.